RNAcentral lists this long non-coding RNA (2759 nucleotides) under Ananas comosus (pineapple). RNAcentral's name for it is "long non-coding RNA (ACOM_LNC034694)". The record is from RNAcentral. Lineage: Eukaryota; Viridiplantae; Streptophyta; Magnoliopsida; Poales; Bromeliaceae.
UAUAUAAUUGAGCUAGAAUACUAUUAGAAGCACCAACCCCUUGGUGCUUCUAAGUUUCUAGCUCUUGGAUUUACUCCUUAAUUACUAAUAUUCUUUGGAUCAAACACUAUUCCAUCUACCACCAUCAUCUCAACCCUACAUCUCUCCAUCCAAUGCUUAAAAUUUAAAAGUACUACCUCCUUUGGUGUUUUUGAGAGUAUUCUAGCUCAACUUGCUUUCAGGAGCACGGAGGCCUCCGUGCUCCUGAGCCGUUUUCGAUGAUGGAAUUUUUGAAUCGACGAUCGGCUCCGUUAUACUUGAUCUAGCGCAUUUGAAGUUUCUAGAAAAUAAUUUUUGCGAUUUUUUGAUAUCAUUUAUCUAGUGAUCGAAAGGAUUCAAAAUUCAUAAUUUUUAAUGGUUGAUAUCUGCCGUUUUCAAGUUUAAUGGUGUAGAAGUAUUCAAAUCAGAUGAAAUUUUGAUACAAAAUUCUUUAUACUAUCUACAACAAGAUCAAUAUUUUUGAUCGAAAAUUUUAGUACUAUAUCACCAUUUUUUAUAGGAUUUUUAUUUUUAGCCGUUAAAAAUUAUUGAUUUUGAAUCAUUUCGAUUGCUAGGUAAAUGAUAUCGAAAAAUCGUAAAAAUUAUUUUCUAGAAACUUCAAAUACGCUAGAUCAAGUUUAACGGAGCCGAUCGUCGAUUCGGACAAGAAUUUAGUGCUAUCGAGUUUUCUACCGUUAGAUUUAAUCUCUUAAUUAUUUUACCCGUUAGAUUAUACUAUUCAACCAACUAACUCAACCCCAGGGGCCCCACAUCAUCUUAAGCACACACACUACAACAGAAUUAGGUUAUAGGGACACAUGUUUGGGACACUUUUGAGUAAGUGUCCCAUUUAUGCUAAAAUAUAAAGCCCAAUCCAACCAACCAAAAAUAAAAGAUUACUCUACUCAACCCACCACACCCAGUCCAUUUGGCCCGAUUACAUACAGAAAAGAAAAAAAAAAGAAAAAUUAAUUACCAUCUUUUCUUCUCUCUUCACUCAAUCCACUGAAAUUUUAGACGAAGAGCCUUUCCUAUCGUCCUCCUCCGCCACCGCAGCCAACGAGAUAGAGUUUCGGCGGUUGCUAAAUACUUAAAUAAGUGUUGGUAAAUUAGCAUCACUCUUUUAGGUUAUAGCGACACUCUUUAACUGUCACUAUAUACCUAGCGACCCUACAUAUAGCAACACUUUUUAAAAGUGUUGGUAAUUUUAGCUAGCUGCACUUUUUUGAUAUGUACCUAUAUUUAAAAGUGUCGCUAUAGACCGUUUUUGUUGUAGUGACAUUUCUCAAUCCAAUGGCUAAAAAGCUAAUAGCACCAAUAACUUGAGCUAGAAUUGAGCUAGAAUACUUUUAGAAGUAUCAUUCCCUUGUUGCUUUUAGGUGUCUAGCUCUUGGAUCUACUCCUUGAUUACUAAUAGCCCUUGGAUCAAACACUAUUCCACCUAUCACCAUCAUCCCAACCUUACAUUUCUCCAUACAAGGGCUAAAAAUUCAAAAGCACCAACCUCUUGAUGCUUUUGAGAGUAUUCUAGCUCAACUAUAUAUAUAUAUAUAUAUAUAUAGAGCUAGGCUGGUAUGCUAUCGGUAGCACGGAGGGCUCCAUGCUACCAAGUUGUUUUUGAUGAUGCGGCUUCCAAAUAGACCAUCGGCUCCGUCAGACUUGAUCUACACUAUUGAAAGUAUUUGGAAACUAAAUUUCAUAAUUUUUCGGCAUUAUUUGGCUAGUGAUCAAAAGGUCUCAAAAUUAACAAUUUCAAUGGUAGAUAUGAUGCAUUUGUGAAUUUAAUGGUAUAAAACAAUCCAAAUUUAAUGAGAUUUUUAUAGAAAAUUCUUUUCACUAUUUAGAGUAAGAUCAGUACCUCUGAUUUUAAAUUCAAGUCUUUUAUCGUUAUUUUUUAUGAGAUUUUUAUUUUUAGCCGUUCAUUUUUAGACUACUCGUUUGAUAGGUAAAUGAUGCCAAAAAAUUAUGAAAUUUAGUUUCUAAAUACUUUCAAUAGUGUAGAUCAAGUCUAACUGAGUCGAUCGUUGAUUUGGAAGCCGCAUCAUUGAAAACAACUUGGUAGCACGGAAGCUUCCAUGCUACCGACAGUAUACCAGCCUAGCUCUCUCUCUCUCUCUCUCUCUCUCUCUCUCUCUCUCUAUAUAUAUAUAUAUAUAUAGNGAGGCGGGUCGAUUUCGUAGAAACAAAUAAAGCUAAAAAAAAUAAAAAAGCAGUAGUUGAUGCAAUAAAAGUAUAAGAAUAAAAAUUUAAAAAGAAUUAAAAAAUAAGAAAACUUAUAAGAAUAAUAAAUUAUAUUUAUAGCAGUAGUAAAAGUUGAGGAUUAAAAUGUCAUAUGCUCUAUAGUUCGAGUCUGAAAUUACAACUAAUUAAAGUUUUUGAGAACUAAAGCCUCACGUGCCUCAUAGUUGUGAGUAAGAAAAUAUAACCCAUUAAAAUUCGAACUAAGUGUCGCGUAUUAUAGUUUGAGGAUAAAAAAUGUGAUUUAUUUUUUAUAUUUUAAUUUUAUUCCAAAUAAAGACAGAAUUGAAUCGGUCGGUAUUAUUCAAUUAGUAAUUUUAUUUGAUAAUAGAAUAUGUUAAACUAUCUAAUACAUUUUAGAAUUUCUAAUUAUUAAAAUUCAAAGUCGACUAAUCAAAUUUUAGAUAUUCCAAAAUAUUUUAAAUGUGAAAUUGAUUGCUCAUCAGACUAUAAAUAUGGUAUUGAAGUUUGUUAUUAAAAUCAAAAUAAAAUGUAUAAAAUUU